This 497-nucleotide ribosomal RNA is filed under the name uncultured bacterium. Its description in RNAcentral is "partial 16S ribosomal RNA". It matches the Rfam family "Bacterial small subunit ribosomal RNA", at positions 28 to 507 of the family's 1533-position model. The record is from RNAcentral.
GAUGAACGCUGGCGGCGUGCCUAAUACAUGCAAGUCGAGCGAACGGACGAGAAGCUUGCUUCUCUGAUGUUAGCGGCGGACGGGUGAGUAACACGUGGAUAACCUACCUAUAAGACUGGGAUAACUUCGGGAAACCGUAGCUAAUACCGGAUAAUAUUUUGAACCGCAUGGUUCAAAAGUGAAAGACGGUCUUGCUGUCACUUAUAGAUGGAUCCGCGCUGCAUUAGCUAGUUGGUAAGGUAACGGCUUACCAAGGCAACGAUGCAUAGCCGACCUGAGAGGGUGAUCGGCCACACUGGAACUGAGACACGGUCCAGACUCCUACGGGAGGCAGCAGUAGGGAAUCUUCCGCAACGGGCGAAAGCCUGACGGAGCAACGCCGCGUGAGUGAUGAAGGUCUUCGGAUCGUAAAACUCUGUUAUUAGGGAAGAACAUAUGUGUAAGUAACUGUGCACAUCUUGACGGUACCUAAUCAGAAAGCCACGGCUAACUACGUG